RNAcentral lists this ribosomal RNA (253 nucleotides) under uncultured bacterium. Its description in RNAcentral is "partial 16S ribosomal RNA". It matches the Rfam family "Bacterial small subunit ribosomal RNA", at positions 524 to 776 of the family's 1533-position model. The record is from RNAcentral.
UACGAAGGGGGCUAGCGUUGUUCGGAAUUACUGGGCGUAAAGGGCGCGUAGGUGGUUUGAUAAGGGUGUGGUGAAAGUCCGGAGCUCAACUCCGGAUCUGCCGUGCCGACUGUCAAACUCGAGGGCUGUAGAGGCAGACGGAAUUCCGGGUGUAGCGGUGGAAUGCGUAGAGAUCCGGAGGAAGACCGGUGGCGAAGGCGGUCUGCUGGGCAGUUUCUGACACUGAGGCGCGACAGCGUGGGGAGCAAACAGG